RNAcentral lists this non-coding RNA (317 nucleotides) under Daphnia pulex (common water flea). Its description in RNAcentral is "Eukaryotic large subunit ribosomal RNA". It matches the Rfam family "Eukaryotic large subunit ribosomal RNA", at positions 3099 to 3401 of the family's 3401-position model. Lineage: Eukaryota; Metazoa; Arthropoda; Branchiopoda; Diplostraca; Daphniidae. The record is from Rfam by way of RNAcentral.
CUACCAUCCGAGGGCUUACGGUUGAACGCCUCUAAAUCGGAAUCCCAUCUAAACUUGCAACGAUAUCUUCGGCGUCUUGACGUUAUUUGGUAUCGAUAAGCGGGUAAAGUCUCGUACUUUAUCCGGUGGCUAUGCCACAGUUGACGGCACAAUGUGAACGACGAUAUACGUUUACAAGCCGGCAUAUACGCAUCUGCGCAAUGUUUGGACGUAAAAUCAUUCGUAGACGACCUAAGUCUCGGUCAAGGUGUUGUACUUAGUAGAGUAGCCUCCACACUGCGAUCUAUUGAGACUUAGCCUUUCGACCGGGGAUUUGU